This 253-nucleotide ribosomal RNA is filed under the name uncultured bacterium. RNAcentral describes it as "partial 16S ribosomal RNA". It matches the Rfam family "Bacterial small subunit ribosomal RNA", at positions 524 to 776 of the family's 1533-position model. The record is from RNAcentral.
UACGGAGGGAGCUAGCGUUAUUCGGAAUUACUGGGCGUAAAGCGCACGUAGGCGGCUUUGUAAGUCAGAGGUGAAAGCCUGGAGCUCAACUCCAGAACUGCCUUUGAGACUGCAUCGCUUGAAUCCAGGAGAGGUGAGUGGAAUUCCGAGUGUAGAGGUGAAAUUCGUAGAUAUCGGGAGGAACACCAGUGGCGAAGGCGGCUUUCUGGCCUGUUCUUGACGCUGAGGCGCGAAAGCUAGGGGAGCAAACGGG